This 372-nucleotide unclassified non-coding RNA is filed under the name Hevea brasiliensis (rubber tree). The record is from RNAcentral. Lineage: Eukaryota; Viridiplantae; Streptophyta; Magnoliopsida; Malpighiales; Euphorbiaceae.
AAAGAAUCUUCCCUCUUCUCCCCACCAUUGGUCACUUAAUGGCAUUCCAUCUUACCUUUUACAUUCCUCGCAAGGAAUCAACCUCAGCAAGUUGAAAAACCUCAAGGAAAAUUUGUUCAAAUUGUUAAAUUGAACUCAACAGGUUUUUGCAUUUCACCACAAAAGACAUAACAUGAUAAAUGAGUUGAAGCUCGAGUGUCUGUCUAAAGAAACAAAUUUCAUUUGCAGUUGCUACCAUGACAAUUUUAGAAAUUUCUAGGUUCUCAUCUUUUUAGUUUAAAAGAACUUGUUAACCAGGUAAAACAAAUCCUUACUAUCUGAAAUAGAUAGAGCAAACCAGAGCCAUGCCUGAUGAAAUGUACAAUAAAGGAA